GACGAACGCUGGCGGCGUGCUUAACACAUGCAAGUCGAACGGAAAGGCCCUGCUUUUGUUUGUUGCUCGAGUGGCGAACGGGUGAGUAACACGUGAGUAACCUGCCCUUGACUUUGUUAUAACUUCAGGAAACUGUGGCUAAUACCUGAUAUUAGCUCCUGCUGCAUGUUUUGUGUUGGAAAGUUUCGGCGGUUGGGGAUUGACUCGCGGCUUAUCAGCUUGUUGGUGGGGUAGUGGCUUACCAAGGCUUUGACGGGUAGCCGGCCUGAGAGGGUGACCGGACACAAUGGGACUGAGAUACGGAACAGAGUGCAACGGGAGGCAGCAGAGGGGAAUAUUGCACAAUGGGAGGAAGCAUGAUGAAGCAAAGCGGCGUGCGGGAUGAAGGACUUGGGGUUGUAAAACGAUUUCGCAUGUGACGAAGAGUGAGUGACGGUAAUGGGUAAAGAAGCAACGGCUAACUACGUG
Molecule: ribosomal RNA, 468 nt
Filed under: uncultured bacterium
Lineage: Bacteria
Description: partial 16S ribosomal RNA
Rfam family: Bacterial small subunit ribosomal RNA
Source: RNAcentral